Molecule: ribosomal RNA, 430 nt
Filed under: uncultured bacterium
Lineage: Bacteria
Description: bacterial SSU rRNA
Rfam family: Bacterial small subunit ribosomal RNA
Source: RNAcentral
UAGGGAAUCUUGCACAAUGGACGAAAGUCUGAUGCAGCGACGCCGUGUGGGGGAUGAAGGGUUUUGGCUCGUAAACCCCUGUCAGAUGGGACGAGGGAUUGCAUACCUAAUAAUUAUGCAGUCUGACGGUACCAUCAGAGGAAGCACCGGCUAACUACGUGCCAGCAGCCGCGGUAAUACGUAGGGUGCAAGCGUUGCUCGGAAUCACUGGGCGUAAAGAGUGGGUAGGUGGAUUUAUAAGUCAGGUGUGAAAGCCCGGGGCUCAACUCCGGAAGUGCAUUUGAUACUGUAAGUCUAGAUUUUGGUAGAGGGAAGUAGAAUUCCAGGUGUAGGGGUGAAAUCCGUAGAUAUCUGGAGGAAUACCUGAGGCGAAGGCGGCUUCCUGGACCAACAAUGACACUGAGCCACGAAAGCAUGGGGAUCAAACAGA